This 1554-nucleotide ribosomal RNA is filed under the name Salmonella enterica. RNAcentral describes it as "bacterial SSU rRNA". It matches the Rfam family "Bacterial small subunit ribosomal RNA". RNAcentral also lists the same sequence under 2 other names. Lineage: Bacteria; Pseudomonadati; Pseudomonadota; Gammaproteobacteria; Enterobacterales; Enterobacteriaceae. The record is from RNAcentral.
AAAUUGAAGAGUUUGAUCAUGGCUCAGAUUGAACGCUGGCGGCAGGCCUAACACAUGCAAGUCGAACGGUAACAGGAAGCAGCUUGCUGCUUCGCUGACGAGUGGCGGACGGGUGAGUAAUGUCUGGGAAACUGCCUGAUGGAGGGGGAUAACUACUGGAAACGGUGGCUAAUACCGCAUAACGUCGCAAGACCAAAGAGGGGGACCUUCGGGCCUCUUGCCAUCAGAUGUGCCCAGAUGGGAUUAGCUUGUUGGUGAGGUAACGGCUCACCAAGGCGACGAUCCCUAGCUGGUCUGAGAGGAUGACCAGCCACACUGGAACUGAGACACGGUCCAGACUCCUACGGGAGGCAGCAGUGGGGAAUAUUGCACAAUGGGCGCAAGCCUGAUGCAGCCAUGCCGCGUGUAUGAAGAAGGCCUUCGGGUUGUAAAGUACUUUCAGCGGGGAGGAAGGUGUUGUGGUUAAUAACCACAGCAAUUGACGUUACCCGCAGAAGAAGCACCGGCUAACUCCGUGCCAGCAGCCGCGGUAAUACGGAGGGUGCAAGCGUUAAUCGGAAUUACUGGGCGUAAAGCGCACGCAGGCGGUCUGUCAAGUCGGAUGUGAAAUCCCCGGGCUCAACCUGGGAACUGCAUUCGAAACUGGCAGGCUUGAGUCUUGUAGAGGGGGGUAGAAUUCCAGGUGUAGCGGUGAAAUGCGUAGAGAUCUGGAGGAAUACCGGUGGCGAAGGCGGCCCCCUGGACAAAGACUGACGCUCAGGUGCGAAAGCGUGGGGAGCAAACAGGAUUAGAUACCCUGGUAGUCCACGCCGUAAACGAUGUCUACUUGGAGGUUGUGCCCUUGAGGCGUGGCUUCCGGAGCUAACGCGUUAAGUAGACCGCCUGGGGAGUACGGCCGCAAGGUUAAAACUCAAAUGAAUUGACGGGGGCCCGCACAAGCGGUGGAGCAUGUGGUUUAAUUCGAUGCAACGCGAAGAACCUUACCUGGUCUUGACAUCCACGGAAGUUUUCAGAGAUGAGAAUGUGCCUUCGGGAACCGUGAGACAGGUGCUGCAUGGCUGUCGUCAGCUCGUGUUGUGAAAUGUUGGGUUAAGUCCCGCAACGAGCGCAACCCUUAUCCUUUGUUGCCAGCGAUUAGGUCGGGAACUCAAAGGAGACUGCCAGUGAUAAACUGGAGGAAGGUGGGGAUGACGUCAAGUCAUCAUGGCCCUUACGACCAGGGCUACACACGUGCUACAAUGGCGCAUACAAAGAGAAGCGACCUCGCGAGAGCAAGCGGACCUCAUAAAGUGCGUCGUAGUCCGGAUUGGAGUCUGCAACUCGACUCCAUGAAGUCGGAAUCGCUAGUAAUCGUGGAUCAGAAUGCCACGGUGAAUACGUUCCCGGGCCUUGUACACACCGCCCGUCACACCAUGGGAGUGGGUUGCAAAAGAAGUAGGUAGCUUAACCUUCGGGAGGGCGCUUACCACUUUGUGAUUCAUGACUGGGGUGAAGUCGUAACAAGGUAACCGUAGGGGAACCUGCGGUUGGAUCACCUCCUUACCUGAAAGAAGC